GGCAGAUGCUGGCAUUUACUUAUACAAACUGAGAAAUGACUGAGUAAAUAUGAAGGACAUCAAUCAGCUGAGAAAGGAUGAGCUGCUGUGUUGAGGGGGAAGUGUUGGUGGGAAGUUAAAUCCGUCUCCAUGUUGAUGCUGCACACAGAGACACGUAGGUGGCUACUGCAGAUUGACUGGAAUCGUGAGAGAUGGAGGAAGAGUAGGAGAGAACGAGAUCAGCAGCAAAUCCAGGAUAAGGCAGAAUGCCAAUCCUAGACAGAAUGAGAAGACAUCAAGGCAGCAGAGAUAACAGAACCUCUACA
Molecule: long non-coding RNA, 305 nt
Organism: Tachysurus vachellii
Lineage: Eukaryota; Metazoa; Chordata; Actinopteri; Siluriformes; Bagridae
Exons: 3
Source: RefSeq, a predicted model, not a curated record